CAGAACUGGAAAUCAACUAUACACUCAUAUAUUGAAGUUUUAAUCCUAUGCCUCUUAAGCCAAAUAAUCCUCUUUCAUAGUUGCAUAACAUGCAUGUGAUGACUUGUAAAGCCUCCAUCCUAAAACCAAUAAGACAAUAAAAAACAACUCUAAAUUGAAAAUAAGGCCACAACAACACCCAAAUGAAACUAGCCUAAAGACACUAGUUAUAUAUGUAGGCUUAAUGCCAACUGAAUCAAUGGCAAAACAAGCAGACUA
Molecule: long non-coding RNA, 258 nt
Filed under: Gossypium barbadense (sea-island cotton)
Lineage: Eukaryota; Viridiplantae; Streptophyta; Magnoliopsida; Malvales; Malvaceae
Description: long non-coding RNA (GBAR_LNC011277)
Source: RNAcentral